GGAGAGAUGGCUGAGUGGCCGAAAGCACCGGUUUGCUAAAUCGGCGUACGGCGCAAGCCGUACCGGGGGUUCGAAUCCCCCUCUCUCCG
Molecule: transfer RNA, 89 nt
Filed under: Planctomycetaceae bacterium
Lineage: Bacteria; Pseudomonadati; Planctomycetota; Planctomycetia; Planctomycetales; Planctomycetaceae
Description: tRNA-Ser
Rfam family: tRNA
About the family: Transfer RNA (tRNA) molecules are approximately 80 nucleotides in length.
Source: RNAcentral